AACGAACGCUGGCGGCAUGCCUAACACAUGCAAGUCGAACGAGACCUUCGGGUCUAGUGGCGCACGGGUGCGUAACGCGUGGGAACCUGCCUUUAGGUUCGGAAUAACUCAGAGAAAUUUGAGCUAAUACCGGAUGAUGUCUUCGGACCAAAGAUUUAUCGCCUUUAGAUGGGCCCGCGUUGGAUUGGCUAGUUGGUGGGGUAAAGGCCUACCAAGGCGACGAUCCAUAGCUGGUCUGAGAGGAUGAUCAGCCACACUGGGACUGAGACACGGCCCAGAAUCCUACGGGAGGCAGCAGUGGGGAAUAUUGGACAAUGGGCGAAAGCCUGAUCCAGCAAUGCCGCGUGAGUGAUGAAGGCCUUAGGGUUGUAAAGCUCUUUUACCCGAGAUGAUAAUGACAGUAUCGGGAGAAUAAGCUCCGGCUAACUCCGUG
RNAcentral lists this ribosomal RNA (433 nucleotides) under uncultured bacterium. RNAcentral's name for it is "partial 16S ribosomal RNA". It matches the Rfam family "Bacterial small subunit ribosomal RNA", at positions 29 to 507 of the family's 1533-position model. The record is from RNAcentral.